CCUACGGGAGGCAGCAGUAGGGAAUAUUGCUCAAUGGGGGACACCCUGAAGCAGCAACGCCGCGUGAAGGCUGAAGGUUUUCGGAUUGUAAACUCCUUUUGUUAGAGAAGAUAAUGACGGUAUCUAACGAAUAAGUACCGGCUAACUCCGUGCCAGCAGCCGCAGUAAUACGGGGGGUGCAAGAGUUACUCGGAAUCACUGGGCGUAAAGAGCGCGUAGGCGGGAUAGCAAGUCAGAUGUGAAAUCCUAUGGCUUAACCAUAGAACUGCAGUUGAAACUGUUAUUCUAGAGUAAGGGAGAGGUAGGUGGAAUUCUUGGUGUAGGGGUAAAAUCCGUAGAGAUCAAGAGGAAUACUCAUUGCGAAGGCGACCUGCUAGAACAUAACUGACGCUGAUGCACGAAGGCCAGGGGAGCGAAAGGGAUUAGAUACCCCAGUAGUC
RNAcentral lists this ribosomal RNA (440 nucleotides) under uncultured bacterium. RNAcentral describes it as "partial 16S ribosomal RNA". It matches the Rfam family "Bacterial small subunit ribosomal RNA", at positions 338 to 795 of the family's 1533-position model. The record is from RNAcentral.